This is a non-coding RNA of Carassius carassius (crucian carp), 491 nucleotides long. NCBI's taxonomy places the organism in Eukaryota, Metazoa, Chordata, Actinopteri, Cypriniformes, Cyprinidae. The record is from the annotation of a RefSeq genome assembly.
AUGUGUUUUCUUCUGGGAAGUGAAACACAGUCAGAAAGACUGAUAGAGCUGUUUUUCAGAAGACUGAAACCUCACAGUUUCCAUCUGUGUCUCUCUUUAGCUGCGGCUCGUCCCGCUCUGACGGUGCUGCCUCCCUCCAGAGACGAGCUGCAGCAGGGGAAGGCUACAGUGCUGUGUGUGGCCAGUAAGGGAUUCCCCUCUGACUGGAAGCUGAGCUGGAAGGUGGACGGCAGCAGCAGGAGCUCUGGUGUCAAUCUGAGUCCCAGUCAGCUGCAGAAGGAUGGACUGUACAGCUGGAGCAGCAGCCUGAGCCUCACUGAGAGUGAGUGGAGCAGAGCAACAACCGUCAGCUGUGACGCCACGCACCCGUCCCACAGUGCAGUCACCAACAGCAUCAACACACAGCAGUGUAAUGAAUGAAUUACACACACAUGCUGUUAUAUUGCUCAUAUUUUCUUAUCUUUUGUAAUUCUACAGCUGCAAUGCUAUAA